RNAcentral lists this long non-coding RNA (1578 nucleotides) under Homo sapiens (human). RNAcentral's name for it is "non-protein coding lnc-NPHS2-6:1". Lineage: Eukaryota; Metazoa; Chordata; Mammalia; Primates; Hominidae. The record is from RNAcentral.
UAGAGGGGAAGUCCUAUACUGUGUGCUUCAUAGUGGUAUUUCUAAUGAUAACUUUUGUGGGAAAGCAGCCUCGUUAUAGCUGGAUCCUAGAUUAGUCCAGUGAAUUUUAAUAAGAAAUUACACUGUUGUAAACUCACCUCUUAUGCAUUGGUCAGUGAUGAGAUAUAUAUAUAAAUAGAUAGAUAGAUAAAAUUUGCUCUUAUAUAGCCAUUUAUUCAUCAUUGGCCCUGUUUGGCCCAUCCUCAGUGUGGCUGUGAGAUUAUUGAUAACUGGUCACUGUCAGAUAAAUCACAUUCUAUUAGGAAACACCUAUAUAGGUUAUGCAGAAACAUGCAGAAAUGCCACCUGUCCAUACUUACGUGGCUUUACAUAAACAAAAGACUGUCUUGUCUUUGUGGUGACUGAAUUUACAACGUCCUCCCCUGGAAAUGGAAAAGUACCUAUCAGGAGAUGUAUGACAAAAGAAAUUAUCAAGCCUGACUUCAUAUAUAUUAUGAACAGUCUAGAGGAAGCAUCUUUCUUAGAACUAAGGAGGUCUGCUGAACAUUGGCCACAUUCUGGACUUUCAUGAAAAUCAUGGACCCAGAGUUGGGGUUAAGCCACUUAGAAAAAGCUGUUGAAAACAUCUCAAAGGCCACUGAACAAUUUUUAAAUUACACUUAACAUGCCAGGUAUCUAGGUAUCUAGUGCUUUUAGCAAUAUUAUCAAUAUUAUCAAGGUCCCAGCUUCUUUGUGUCCUUCCCCCUUGCGAUCCUCUUUUUUUUUUUUUUUUUUUUUGCUUUUUAAAAAAUAGUGACAGAGUCUCACUCUGUCGCCCAGGCUGGAGUGCAGUGGCAGUCUUGGUUCACUGCAACCUCUGCCUUCCGGGUUCAAGCAAUUCUCCUGCCUCAGCCUCCCGAGUAGCUGGGACUACAGGUGUGCGCCACCACACUUGGCUAAUUUUUGUAUUUUUAGUAGAGAUGGGGUUUCACCAUUGUUGGCCAGGAUGGUCUUGAUCUCUUGAUCUCAUGAUCCACCCGCCUUGGCCUCCCAAAGUGCUGGGAUUACAGGCAUGAGCCACUGUGCCCAGCCCUUUUUUUUUUUUUUUUUUGACGGAGUCUCGCUCUCUUGCCCAGGAUGGAGUGUAGUGGCACGAUCUCGGCUUACUGUAACCUCCACCUCCUAGGUUCAAGCAAUUCUCCUGCCUCAGCCUCCUGAGUAGUGGGGAUUACAGGUGCCCGCCACCAUGUCUGGCUAAUUUUUGUGUUUUUAGUAGAGACGGGGUUUCACCAUGUUGGCCAGGCUGGUCUUGAACUCCUGACCUCAGAUGAUCCACCUGCCCUGACCUCCGACAGUGCUGGGAUUACAGGCAUAGCCACCGUGCCUGACCAGGGCUCUUUUAGCAAGGAAAACGUGAGGAAUGAAUGGCUGUUGGUGUGCAACAAAUCAUACUUGCUACAUGUUGUGAAACCUGAAGUUAUUUGUUAGUCUGUAUGAAGAAUGUACCCCAGAGAUGCACCCUGUAUCUGCCUUAUGUCUCUUACAAUGGAGGUUCUCUCCUGUUAUAUUGCUGAAUAAACUAUGUGAACUGCUAAAUUG